UUAAAAACUAAUGUUCAGGACCGGGGCUGUAGCUCAGUGGCAGACCACUUGCCUAGCAUUCGAGAGGCACUGGGUUCAAUCUUCAGAACCACAUAAAAAUAAACAAAAAAAUAAAUAAAGGCAUUCUGUCCAUCUACAACUACAAAAAAAUUAAAAAAAAACAACUAAUGUUCAAAUCAUGACAUGUGGCCACCAUAGUAGGAUAAGUAUCCACUGGGUAAUGACAAGAAAAUAAUUAAAAAGGAAGAGCCUUUAAAUAUCAUUUUAACAUAAAAUAAAUCCUUUUUUAAGGAAGCAAAUUACUGAAUCAUUUUAUUCUGCUUAAAGGAAAAACUGAUUAGACACAGCAUUUAAUUUACUUGAUAUUGUAUAUGUAUCACUGAAAUGGGACUUAAUAAAUGCUAUCAAGGGUGAGUUCUAUAAACAUAACAGUUGUCUGUUUAUAUUUGUAGUAGCUUUUAUUUUUCAAAACGAAGAGAUUUCUAUUUAUAGUGCUAGCAAUUUUUUUUGCCAAUGGAGUUAAUAAGAUAAAGAAAAUGACUUUAGAUACUUGCCAAAUAAUGUAACCAACUCAUUUUUUUAGCAGCACAGUUAAUUCCUACGUUUAAUUUUAAUACUUUAUUUAUAUUAGAGCAAAGUGCUUAGGAUUAAAUCAGUGUUUCCACUUACACAGUUCUAAAAUAUAUUAUAAUUAACAAUCAAAUAAUGGAUACAGAUAUGCUAUAACUUUGGAGAUAAUUUCAGUGAUUUGUAUAAUUAAAAUCAUUUAAAUUUCCAUUCAAUCAAGUAAUAAAUUAUUAAUCAACUAUGAAGUUUUACAUGUACCCAGAAAUUUAAAUUACAUAAGACAUCUAUUUAAUAAAUGCAUCAUCUCGAAAAGGCAGCUAUCGAAAAUAAACUCAUCAACUUAAGUAAGAUGAACAGAAGCUGGAGAAAGUCCAAAUUACUAAAUGAUUGGAAAAUGGCUUAACAAAGGAAGCCUAAAAUAAUGUGGGUUAUUAAAGAACAGAAAGCUGGGGUAAAAUUUAGUAAUAUUUUUUAUUCAGUAGUUGAACUAAUAGGAUGAGCACAGAGACCUUCAGUAAUCUCUGUCCAUUGAGAAACAGUCUAAAAAGAUAAAGUCAAGUAGUGCCCUGAAAUGACUGUUUAGGUACCUAGAAAAAUUCCCUUUCCAAUUUAAAGACUUUAGAGACAAAUACCAAAAUAGCUAUAAAAUUCUUAUCUCUGAAAAUAUUUAGCCACAGUAGAAAUUACUUCUUAAAACAUAUGUAGUGAAUAUUAUGUGCUGUAUGCCAUGUCUACACAUAUACCCUUCACCACUCCAAUGAACAAAGUGCAGCUUCUCACUACAGGGGAAAUUUAUCAGAACUUAAGGACCCUCUUGCCUACCUGAACAACAAUCAGCAAAGCCAAGAAAGUACCAAUCCCAUGGAUAUCCCUCUGCCAACGACUGGCAACAGUCAGUAUAUAAGUACCCUGAGCUUCCUCACAACUCAAGCAGAAUAACUUUGAGAUGUGCUGUGACAAUGGCUCUCAGAUUUCUCCAUUGUGAUUCAUCAUCAGUUAUCCACAGUUGUAACUUGUAUAAUAAUAAAAUUCAUAUUGAAUAAAGCCCCUC
RNAcentral lists this long non-coding RNA (1618 nucleotides) under Marmota monax (woodchuck). The record is from RNAcentral. Lineage: Eukaryota; Metazoa; Chordata; Mammalia; Rodentia; Sciuridae.